RNA transcript from Nymphaea colorata (pocket water lily), 2186 nucleotides. It is a transcript of the gene named zinc finger BED domain-containing protein RICESLEEPER 1-like, with no coding region annotated. The record is from RefSeq and is a predicted model, not a curated record. Lineage: Eukaryota; Viridiplantae; Streptophyta; Magnoliopsida; Nymphaeales; Nymphaeaceae. The transcript has 3 exons.
UAGCACAUGAACUUUCGUUCAAUUUGGCAGAAUAUAAAUAUCAUAACAAACUUCUUCAAGCUUGCAACCAUAAGUUUGUUCCAUUUUCUAGAAGAACUUUGAAAAGAGAAAUUAUGUCAGUGUACAAGGCUGAGAAAGCCCGACUUGAAGGAUUUAUAAAUGAUUCUACGCAGCGAGUUUCAUUGACAUUUGAUAUGUGGACUUCACAGCAGACAUUGGGUUAUCUAUGUGUGACAGGACAAUAUGUUGAUAGAUAUUGGAAGUUGCAUGCUCACAUGUUCAGUUUUGUACAUGUGCCUCCGCCACAUAAUGCAAAUAGUUUGUGUGAGGCUUUAUUAGAAUGCAUCUCUAAAUGGAACAUUCAAUCAAAGUUAUUUUCUAUUACAGCUGACAAUUGUUCGACGAAUGAUAGUGCAAUAACUACACUAAAAAGGAACUUAGGAAGAAGAAAUCUUAUUCCAAUGCAGGGGCAACAUUUGCAUAUUCGUUGUGGUGCGCAUAUUCUAAAUCUUAUAGUUCAAGAUGGUAUGCAGGAUCUGCAUGAUACAAUUUCAAAGAUUCGUGAAAGUGUUAAAUAUGUAAAGGGAUCACCAAAGCGGUUACAUUCCUUUAAGGAUUGUAUAAGAACAGUGGGCUUAAUUGGUACAAAGAAAUUAACUUAUGAUGUUCCAACUCGAUGGAACUCUACAUAUGUUAUGUUGAGAGAUGCAUUGUUCUACAAAGAUGCAUUUCAACAUUUAGCUUCUAUAGAUCCCAAUUAUACAAAUUUACCUUCUGAUGAUGAAUGGUCUUAUGCAACUACCUUGUGCCAGUUUUUGAAGUUAUUCUAUAAUGUUACAAAUAUCUUCUCUGCCACUAGAAACGUAACAGCUAAUGUGGUUUUUGAAGAAAUACAGAAGGUACGCAACCAUUUGCGUAAAAAUCGUUUGGCAGACAAUGAUUAUAUAAGGUCAUUAGCAUACAAAAUGCAAGAAAAGUUUGACAAAUAUUGGAAAAAUGACUAUAAUGUCCUUUUUGGAAUUGCAUUUGUCUUAGAUCCUAGAUCCAAACUGGGAUAUUUGAAGUAUGUGCUUGAGAGUUUAAAUGAAAUUGAUGCAAUGGUACAAUAUGAAAAAAUAGAGAGUAGUCUUCAUGGAUUGUAUGUUGAGUACAAAAACGUGUAUGGUACAGACAAUGAAGAAAAUGAAAAUGCAAACAACGCCAUUGUUGAUUUUGAAGAAGAGAGGGCUUCAACUUUUUCAAGAGAUGCCUUCUUCACAUAUUACAUGAGUUCUGCAUCUUCUCAAGUACCUCGCACAGAUCUGGAAGCAUAUUUAACUGAUCCAAUAGAACGAUCUCGGCCUAAUGAAGACUUCAAUAUAUUAUCUUGGUGGAAGGCAAAUGAAAAUAAAUAUAGAGUUUUAUCCAAAAUGGCUCGAGAUAUCUUGGCAAUCCCUAUAUCCACGGUUGCAUCUGAGUCUGCAUUCAGUACAGCUGGAAGAAUCAUUAAUGAUUAUCGAUGUUCAACCACUCCCGAAACUGUUGAAGCACUAGUUUGCACACAGAGUUGGAUUCGUGAUGAAGAUAUCUCAUGUGAAACUUUUGAAGAAAAGGAAGAAUCUUCUGGUGACGAAUUAGCAUGAAUUAUAUUUCAUUGUGGUAAAACGUUUCUUUGACAUUUUAUAACAUUGUAGUGAAAGCACAUAUGAAGGCGAAGGAUGUCACAUAACAAAGCUUGAUCAGAUUUUGUUCAAUGGGAAGACAACGCUGGUGUUGCUCUUGUUUGCUCAGCCCUCCUAAUAUAUAUGUAGCAUGCUAUGUGGGUGGGAUUUGUACUCUUUUCCUGCCUUGGUUGUUAAGGUGGUUUGGGAUCUUGUAAGUUCGGAAAGGAAGAUAUCAUGUGCUGUUUGGAUAGCUGGUAUUAUCACUAAUAUGGAGAUACAAUGUUCAAUCAUGUACUUUGACACUAUUGGAAAACAAGUGCAACUUCUAUGGAUUUCUUUUUUACUAAGGCUGCUUUGCUUUGUACUUGGGUUCUAAACUUAGAUGCUAUUAUGUUCUUGAUUUUGUGGAGCUUUAAAAUACUUCAUGAGUCCUUACUCCACGCCCAUGUAACGAACUAACUAUGUAAGGUUUCUUACAAUGAAGGACUAUUGUUUUUACAUGGGAGUUUAUGUAAUGUGGUGCCCUGUCCGAUGUAUCUAUGU